Molecule: ribosomal RNA, 76 nt
Filed under: Diadema setosum
Lineage: Eukaryota; Metazoa; Echinodermata; Echinoidea; Diadematoida; Diadematidae
Description: partial 12S ribosomal RNA
Source: RNAcentral
CGCCCAACUGCAGAGCUGCAGCAAGGGGAGAAAAGUCGUAACAUAGUAGGUGUACCGGAAGGUGCCCCUGGAAAAC